Molecule: signal recognition particle RNA, 268 nt
Filed under: Actinomycetota bacterium
Lineage: Bacteria; Bacillati; Actinomycetota
Description: signal recognition particle sRNA large type
Rfam family: Bacterial large signal recognition particle RNA
About the family: The signal recognition particle (SRP) is a universally conserved ribonucleoprotein involved in the co-translational targeting of proteins to membranes. Archaeal SRP consists of a 7S RNA and homologues of the eukaryotic SRP19 and SRP54 proteins.
Source: RNAcentral
CCGUGCUAGGUGGGGGGCUAGGGGUCCCCUGUACCGGAAACCCUCGAUACGCCGGGCUUAAUUACUUGCCCGCGGCCUGUGUUCGACCGGGCAGCACCCGGUGUGCAGCGUUGAUGGUCGGGUCCCGCGCGACCCGGAGCCGUGAACCCGGUCAGGCCCGGAAGGGAGCAGCCGUAAGCGGUGUCCCGGGAGUGCCGCGGGUUCGCCCGGCCGGAGCCCGCAGCCGGGAACGCGCCGGCCGUGCAUGGGUCCAAGGUGAGGUGCACGG